RNAcentral lists this ribosomal RNA (305 nucleotides) under uncultured bacterium. RNAcentral describes it as "bacterial SSU rRNA". It matches the Rfam family "Bacterial small subunit ribosomal RNA", at positions 333 to 630 of the family's 1533-position model. The record is from RNAcentral.
AGGACCCUACGGGACGCAGCAGUGGGGAAUAUUGCGCAAUGGGCGAAAGCCUGACGCAGCGACGCCGCGUGAGGGAUGAAGGUCUUCGGAUCGUAAACCUCUGUCAGCAGGGAAGAACGGUCACUGUGCUAAUCAGCAGUGAAUUGACGGUACCUGCAAAGGAAGCACCGGCUAACUCCGUGCCAGCAGCCGCGGUAAUACGGAGGGUGCGAGCGUUAAUCGGAAUUACUGGGCGUACAGCGCUCGUAGGCGGUAUGUCAAGUCAAGGGUGAAAUCCCCGCGCUCAACGCGGGAACUGCCUCCCC